UCUUUAAGUCCUUCCUUAGCCCAUGCCCGCUUGAAACUUUGAAACUGAGCGUGCGCUUCUCUGUUUUGCUGAACGUGGCUCUGAGAUUGAAUCUGGCAUUUUAGAAAAGUUUGAAUCGCUAAGUUGUUGAGAAGUGUAAGUUGAAGACAGCAGCUAAAAUGACUGGCACUCGAGAAGGAAGUUGGAUUCUGCAGUUGUAAAUGCCACAUCAGCAAUGAUUGUGGGAUCAAGCAUGCAAAAUAAGUACACAGCAUUUGUGACACCCUCCCCAUGUCAGUUAAAUGGAUCUGGCUAAGCAUGGAAGGCCUGCC
This is a long non-coding RNA of Chroicocephalus ridibundus (black-headed gull), 311 nucleotides long. RefSeq lists it as uncharacterized. The transcript is spliced from 3 exons. NCBI's taxonomy places the organism in Eukaryota, Metazoa, Chordata, Aves, Charadriiformes, Laridae. The record is from RefSeq and is a predicted model, not a curated record.